Molecule: long non-coding RNA, 875 nt
Organism: Gavialis gangeticus (Gharial)
Lineage: Eukaryota; Metazoa; Chordata; Crocodylia; Gavialidae
Exons: 2
Source: RefSeq, a predicted model, not a curated record
UGUUAGAAAUGGAAAUAUUAAUUCACAGCAAUUCAUAAUGAAUGCUUUUAGAGAGAUAUACAACAGAGGUUUAAAAUCAGUGUUAUGUUAUUCAACAAGAGAUUUUGGUGGGAUGCAUGUCAGCACAAACAUCUUAACUUUCCCUGACUAACCAUGUACUUAUACACAAAAAUCCCUUGGAAAUCUUGCUCCUUCAGCUGACUAAACACAAAGGUAUUAAAACCUCAAUAUCUCACAGAAUAGGAAAGCCAGCAUUAGUAUUAAUAAAAUCAUAAGAGAGAUAAACACAACUACAGACUAUGGAAUUAGGAUUAAACUACACUUUUGGUCAGACAGCAAGUGUCAGAUAGGUAGGUACAAAUGUUUGUCAGCACUGGUAUUAGGCAAUCACUGUUCAGACUCCAUGGCAGAAGAUAAUCUUUGCUUCUGAAACAAAAGCUGUGAAAAAUGGAUAUUCAUUAAGUCAGCCUCCUAUAUUUUACACAAUGAACUAGAAGGGAACUUUUUAAUUUUCUAUGUAGUGCUGUUUGCAGAAUUUCACUCAGUGCAGGUAAAGAUGGCAAGUUAAAUAUCCUAAAUUUGGGAGUAUGACAAAUGUGCAACUCUUUAAAUACUGACUUAUUUCCUGGAUCUGCCAUCAGCAUAGUGUGAUUUUCAUGAAACCAAACAGACAAUUCACUCUAGGAAUAUGACUGGGUAACAGUACCUACUCGUCUGAUUAGGAAGAAUGCACCCAAACCAGUUUGAACAGAAGAGACUCAGAAUCAUAGGGACUGUCUACUGGGAUAAAUAACUAUCGUACAAUAACUAUUCUAUACCAGCACCUUAUGAGGACCGUUGUUGUACAUUGGCACUGGAUUAAGCAGAGGUGGAAA